GCUCCGGUGGUGUAGUCAGGUUAAGAAGACGCCUACAGCAUCCGAGCCUCUCGAGCUCGAAACCCGGGUUCAAAUCCCGGCCGGAGCACCA
Molecule: transfer RNA, 91 nt
Filed under: Candidatus Bathyarchaeota archaeon
Lineage: Archaea; Thermoproteati; Candidatus Bathyarchaeota
Description: tRNA-Glu
Rfam family: tRNA
About the family: Transfer RNA (tRNA) molecules are approximately 80 nucleotides in length. Their secondary structure includes four short double-helical elements and three loops (D, anti-codon, and T loops).
Source: RNAcentral